UACGGUCAAAUCACGCUGAAACCCCGGUUCUCGUUCGAUCACCGAAGUUAAGCAUCGUAGAGACAGGUCAGUACUUAGAUGGGGGACCGCUUGGGAACACCUGGUACU
This 108-nucleotide ribosomal RNA is filed under the name Acanthosepion pharaonis. The record is from RNAcentral. Lineage: Eukaryota; Metazoa; Mollusca; Cephalopoda; Sepiida; Sepiidae.